GGGGGUUGGAGGAGGCUGAGAAGCAGCUGAGGUCCUGUGCAGACACAGCCGGGGCGUCUGAGGAUUCGUGGCUGUGUCGUUAGUUGCUAGAUGUGUUUGAACCCCGUCUAUCACACUCACAGCUUGCUGUAAGCAUUUCCUCCAGAAGGUUCUUCUCCACUGCCGACUGGUUCCAAGCACACUUGGCAUCUGUGUGAUGCUAUUGCUGCUGAAUUCCUCUGCUUGUUUUGUCAGGCUGCUUCGAGGCUGCUGUAAAAUGUGUCCGACAUCCUUGCUUGAGAAGCACUCAGAAGCAUUCACACGGGGUUAGUCCUGCUCUUCAGACCAGGGAUUAAAGGCAGCAAAAUACAUUGCCUCUUCUCAUGAGUAUAAAUAAAGAAGACAUCACAAACCUAUAAAAAGAGGUAGACAGUCAUGAAAGUAAAAAUACGCAAGAAUUAUUAGCAAUGUCUACAAGCCUCAAGCUGCAUGUCCUUGGGCCUCGUCUCCGUGCAUUCACAAGAACCACGUCUCGUUUUGAUGGCCUUGAAAAAUAACACUGUUCUUUCAGUAGAUUUUCUUGUAGAAAUAGCCCAGGAGAUUAGAUAACAUACUGCUUUACAAAACGUCCUGAAUAUGGUCUCCUGAUAUUUCAGUCUCUCCAGGGUUCCACUUCUUGCCUCUGUCCACAGAGACCCCGCGAUGCAUGUUGCUGUCCAUCCACUCCCCCUUCUCUGCCCGCAGACCCCUGCUCUGCUCCUCGUACCCGCAGCGCGUGACCCUCCGCAGAGUGCAGCCCCCUCAAAAGUGCUUUCAGUUCCUUUCUGAUUGCUUAUCAUGAAAAGAACGGAUCUUCUCACAUUCAGGUGAAUAAAAUUCCCCUUUCUGUUAAAUAUCAUGAUGCAGAAUAUGACUGAUGACAUAAAGAGGAAAAUAGACCUAUAGGGCUAUGAAAUUCACUGUGGAAAAGUCACUCUGGGUUGAACUGUUGAAGGAAGACUGUGGAGGAGGAGAGACUCUGAUCGCCCAGAGAACGAGGCUGAAGACACGGCUGAGACAGCGGAGGGUGGCAUUCUAGCCGGGAUGAGUCUGUGAGCCACAUCACGUGAGUCAGGAAUGAGCGCGGAGAUGUGCAGACCAUUAAUUCUGACAGAUCGGAGAUCUUGAGAAAGGAGGUCCUGGGGGACGACACAGAAGGGUCAGCUGUAAAUCUGGACGCUUACAGUUCAACCCUUAGGUCAGAAGCAGGCACUGGGGGGGCAGGGUUUGUUGCGAAGUGACACAAGGGAGACAAUGUGGUGGAGGAAGUGAGUCGGGGCACAGAAACAAAAGCGGGUAGUUCAGGCAGACGUGAAAUAAUGAAAGCUAGCUGGGAGUGAGGAUGGAAGUAGGAAAGAAACAGUUUCUGUCUUUUUAUUCUUUCCACACUGAUGGUUUCACAAGAAAUCAUUCAGCAGGCUCAGAUGAUAAGCACAGUAUCAACACUAGUUAUUUAAAAUCAUUCAUUCUUAUAAGGUCCCAAGUAAUAAAGGACAAACUGGUCUACUUUUUCCUUUUUGGUGUUCUCUUCCUACCCAAGAGAGAAACAACAGACAGAGAACUCUUUGAUGAUUAAAUGUGUGUAUACUUUACAUUUUCAGGGGUUUUUGAUACAGAAAAGUGCAUGAAACUUUGAGGCAGACGUUGAUCUAAGCCACUUUUUUCAAUACAAAAUCAUUU
RNAcentral lists this long non-coding RNA (1698 nucleotides) under Equus caballus (horse). RNAcentral's name for it is "lncRNA (ENSECAG00000030725.3)". The record is from RNAcentral. Lineage: Eukaryota; Metazoa; Chordata; Mammalia; Perissodactyla; Equidae.